RNAcentral lists this ribosomal RNA (449 nucleotides) under uncultured bacterium. RNAcentral's name for it is "partial 16S ribosomal RNA". It matches the Rfam family "Bacterial small subunit ribosomal RNA", at positions 28 to 523 of the family's 1533-position model. The record is from RNAcentral.
AGCGAACGCUGGCGGCAGGCUUAACACAUGCAAGUCGAGCGGGCCCUUCGGGGUCAGCGGCAGACGGGUGAGUAUCGCGUGGGAACGUGCCCUUCGGUUCGGAAUAACCCUGGGAAACUAGGGCUAAUACCGGAUACGCCCUUAUGGGGAAAGGUUUACCGCCGAAGGAUCGGCCCGCGUCGGAUUAGCUUGUUGGUGAGGUAACGGCUCACCAAGGCGACGAUCAGUAGCUGGUCUGAGGGGAUGAUCAGCCACACUGGGACUGGGACACGGCCCAGACUCCUACGGGAGGCAGCAGUGGGGAAUAUUGGACAAUGGGGGCAACCCUGAUCCAGCCAUGCCGCGUGAGUGAUGACGGCCUUAGGGUUGUAAAGCUCUUUUACCCGGGACGAUAAUGACGGUACCGGGUGAAUAAGCCCCGGCUAACUUCGUGCCAGCAGCCGCGGUAA